UUUCCGUUGGUGAACCAGCGGAAGGAUCAUUAAAAAUAAGUGAAUUUAUGGCCCCUUAAAGUCCGUAUCCACCUUGUGUGCAACGUUUUAAGGUCUCUCUAUCAUUUCGCCGGCUGCAGAAUGUUUGUUCUACAGCCGCGGAAGGCCAGAUACGGAGGCUUUUUAUCUCAUAAUUCUUGCUCUUUACCAAAUUUGUCUGAAUAUAUAUUGCGCAUUACCUUUCAAAAUAACUACAACUUUCAUCAACGGCACACUUGACUCUCGCAUCGCUGAAGAACG
This 279-nucleotide unclassified non-coding RNA is filed under the name plant metagenome. Its description in RNAcentral is "partial contains small subunit ribosomal RNA, internal transcribed spacer 1, and 5.8S ribosomal RNA". The record is from RNAcentral.